UUCGGAUUGCAGGCUGCAACCCGCCUGUAUGAAGUUGGAAUCGCUAGUAAUCGCGGAUCAGCAUGCCGCGGUGAAUACGUUCCCGGGCCUUGUACACACCGCCCGUCACACAUGAGAGUCGGGAACACCCGAAGUCCGUAGUCUAACUUUCACGAGAGGACGCGGCCGAAGGUGGGUUCGAUAAUUGGGGUGAAGUCGUAACAAGGUAUC
This 210-nucleotide ribosomal RNA is filed under the name uncultured bacterium. RNAcentral's name for it is "partial 16S ribosomal RNA". It matches the Rfam family "Bacterial small subunit ribosomal RNA", at positions 1292 to 1500 of the family's 1533-position model. The record is from RNAcentral.